GCCCUUUGGACUUGCAUGUUAGUUCCUCUGUUGUACAUGUUGGCUGAGUGAAUUUUGGUCUUUGAUGGCAUGAUGAAAGCAGCAGUGGUCAAACAGGAGAUCUCACAGCUGCACCGUUUCCUAAGGAAUGAAAGUGUAAAGAGCCCUUUUUAGGACUUGUUUUUCUCAUUCUUUAAUAAGCACCGAACAUUUCUUUGAAGGGCAAAUCUUUCCUUAAAUAUGUGAGCAGACACGCACUGGUAACCUUUCAGUAGCUGCUGCUGCAGUAACUGCAUGUGGAUAGAAGGGAAAGCAGUACAGAGUGAUGAAUUUGUCCUAAAGUCUGUUGCAUCCUUCCAGGUGGCAGCCUCUGUCUCACAUUCUUAAAACAUCUGUUUAGCUUCUUGUCCUUGGAUUUUGUUUCCCUUUGAUUAAUGUGAUAGCCACGAAAUUCAGACAUGUUCUUGAUGGCCUUCAGUAGGAAAAACAACAAACCCAUAAUGCCGGACCAAUCAAUCACCAUUAGCAGAACAGAAACUUCUAAUAAGGAGGACGGUGUUAGUCAGUGCAAUGAAAUGUUGGUUCUGUAUGAGAAACAUCAUGCUUCUACCAGGGCUAUUUUGAAAAAACAGUUGAGGAUUUAUUGCCUAUAUAAUUAAAGUAUUUAUCUUCCAAUUUAAA
Numida meleagris (helmeted guineafowl) is the source of this 660-nucleotide long non-coding RNA. RefSeq lists it as uncharacterized. The record is from RefSeq and is a predicted model, not a curated record. The transcript has 2 exons. Lineage: Eukaryota; Metazoa; Chordata; Aves; Galliformes; Numididae.